UACGUAGGGUGCGAGCGUUAAUCGGAAUUACUGGGCGUAAAGCGUGCGCAGGCGGUUAUUUAAGUCAGGGGUGAAAGCCCUGGGCUUAACCUAGGAAUUGCGCUUGAGACUGGAUAGCUUGGAGUGCGGCAGAGGGAGGUGGAAUUCCACGUGUAGCAGUGAAAUGCGUAGAGAUGUGGAGGAACACCGAUGGCGAGGGCAGCCUCCUGGGCCAGCACUGACGCUCAUGCACGAAAGCGUGGGGAGCAAACAGG
Molecule: ribosomal RNA, 254 nt
Filed under: uncultured bacterium
Lineage: Bacteria
Description: partial 16S ribosomal RNA
Rfam family: Bacterial small subunit ribosomal RNA
Source: RNAcentral